This 1146-nucleotide long non-coding RNA is filed under the name Anser cygnoides (Swan goose). RNAcentral's name for it is "lncRNA (ENSACDG00005010605.1)". The record is from RNAcentral. Lineage: Eukaryota; Metazoa; Chordata; Aves; Anseriformes; Anatidae.
AUGGGUGUUUGCACACCUCAAGGCAGCCUAAUUGCUGGGUCGUUUUGUGCAUCUUCUGCUUUAGAGCCUCCACGGUGUGUCCGUGCCCGUUACCUGGCCGCCAGCACACACAUAGAGGGUGCUCAGGUCCCCACAUGGCCCCAGGACCCCCUCUGGGCACCUCUGGCCAGGACAGAACAGGGCCAACGUGGGGUGCUGGGGCGUGGGAUAAGGGUGCCCAGCGUGACUGCCCCAGAGCAGAGGCACCCAGAGAUGUCCCCAGUGGGUCAGGGCUCAGUGGCACUGGGGGACCGGGGACACACAGUGCCCCAGAAUCGCAUGGCAUGGCACAGCGCUGCACGGCACCACUCAUCCCCACCGGCAUGGCUUGGUUUGGCAUGGCACUGCAGGGCUCGGCACGGUUCAGGACUGCAGGAUGGCUUGGCACAGGCACGGCACUGCACAGCACCAUCGCUCAGCACCGCACUGCUCAGCACUGCACAGCUGUGCAUGGCUUGGCACAGGUCAUCACACGGCACGGCACAGCUCCGCACCGCACUGCACGGCACCGCACUGCACGGCACAGCACUGCACAGUUCGGCUCUGCUCGGCACUGCUCAACACGGUUUAGCCCUGCGUGGCACGGCUCAACACCCCGGCCGUGCGCACGCUGCAUGCACAGCACCCAUGGCCCCGCUUGGCUUGGCCCUGCUCACACCAGCACUGCACGGCCCGGCACUGUACGAAGCCCCUUGCCUUGGCAGCAGCCUUUCUAGCUCGGCAUUGCGUGGCACGGCUCAGCUUGGCAUGGCACGGCCUGGUGCUGCUCAGAGCAGUGCUGCAUGGGCUGGCACCGCUCAGUUCCACCCAGCACGGCUCGGCACGGGUCAGCACUGCUGGGCUCAGCCCGGCUCAGCCCGGCUCAGCUUGGCUCUGGUCCAGCUCUGCACGGGACUGCUGGCCUUGGCUAAGCUUGUCCAGCCCUUGCAGGACAUGGCAUGGCUUGGUUUGGCUCGGCUUGGCUUGGCCUGGUCCAGCACGGCUUGGCACGCCUUGGCCUGUCCUGGCUUGGCACCGCACACCAUGCGGUGCCUUGACCCAGUCCGGGCCAACCCGGCACGGCUCGGCCUGGCUUGGCACUGCACCAAGCGCACGGCACUUGACUAA